AUACUGCUGAGCUAGGGACCGGGAGAGGCCGAGGGUAUUCCCGGGGUAGGGGUGAAAUCCUGUAAUCCCGGGAGGACCACCUGUGGCGAAGGCGCUCGGCUGGAACGGGUCCGACGGUGAGGGACGAAGGCCUGGGGAGCGAACCGGAUUAGAUACCCGGGUAGUCCAGGCUGUAAACGAUGCGGGCUAGGUGUCACCGGAGCUACGAGCUCCGGUGGUGCCGGAGGGAAGCCGUUAAGCCCGCCGCCUGGGAAGUACGGCCGCAAGGCUGAAACUUAAAGGAAUUGGCGGGGGAGCACUACAACGGGUGGAGCCUGCGGUUUAAUUGGAUUCAACGCCGGGAAGCUUACCGGGGGAGACAGCGGGAUGAAGGUCGGGCUGAAGAUCUUACCAGACUAGCUGAGAGGUGGUGCAUGGCCGCCGUCAGUUCGUACUGUGAAGCAUCCUGUUAAGUCAGGCAACGAGCGAGACCCGCGCCCUCAGUUGCCAGCGGGUCCCUUCGGGGACGCCGGGCACACUGAGGGGACUGCCGGCGCUAAGCCGGAGGAAGGUGCGGGCAACGGCAGGUCCGUAUGCCCCGAAACCCCCGGGCUACACGCGGGCUACAAUGGCCGGGACAAUGGGUACCGACCCCGAAAGGGGUGGGUAAUCUCCUAAACCCGGUCUAACCUGGGAUCGAGGGCUGCAACUCGCCCUCGUGAACCUGGAAUCCGUAGUAAUCGCGUCUC
This 728-nucleotide ribosomal RNA is filed under the name uncultured archaeon. RNAcentral's name for it is "bacterial SSU rRNA". It matches the Rfam family "Archaeal small subunit ribosomal RNA", at positions 581 to 1306 of the family's 1478-position model. The record is from RNAcentral.